UGGAUCUGGAGAAGAUGUGAUGGGUUGUUGGACUAUGAAGAAAAUAAAGUGUUGAAACUCCUGUUGGUGUUACUGCUCUGCUGGAACUUUGAGUCUGCUGUGCUGGAAGUAGCUUAUUAGAUGUUGCUGUUGCUGGUAGUGCUGGAUUAAAGGCUGCUAUGAUUUCUCAGCCACAACUGGUGCUGCCAUGGUUGUUAUGGACAGAGGAGCUGAAGGUGUGGAGAGAUCGGUUGCUGUUUAGUCGCUGUGAAUAGAAGGAAAAUAUGGAUCCUGGUGCUGUGUUGUGAUGCUAGUGUUGCUCUACUGGAACAAGGGAGGUAAGUUGCAGCUGGAGGCUGUGCUGUUGUUUGCUGUGGAGAAGCUACGCUGGUGAAGAGCUAUAUAUAUGGCUGAGAAGACAACAGUGCAGCCGUUCCUGGCGUAGAAAAGAAGAAGCUGCUGUCCGAUGGAUGUGAGCUGGUGGAGGAGAUGUCAGUGCUGGAACCUCUGGAACUUUGUUGCAGGGACUGCCAUUUAAAAGAGGUGAGGGAGAGGUAGAAAACAUUGAUUUCAGCAAAAAGGAAGGAAAAAGUGGAAAAUCGUGCUGCUGGGUUUCUGAACCUGGUCUUUGGAUUGUAAAGAGAUGGUAGCUUAUAACCGUUUCCUCUGUUGUUGCUCUCGGUUAAGAUUUUUUUGUGUUCCAAUCUUCUUCUCCAGGAACAAAGCUGCAGGCGAGGUGAUCUAAAUGGCCAACUGAUGUUGUGUUUAUGGCUACUGAGGAAAUAGAAAAGAAGAGCUGGGCUUGCUUUGAACUGGAAUAGCGAAGCGGCUGGUGUUUGUUGCUAGUGGCGUGGUGUUGUUUCUGGGUGCUGGAAAAAUUAAGGAGAAGGCUGAUGCAGUCCUGGCUAUGGGAUAGUGUUUAUGGUAGUCCUCCCCCAGUUUUUUGGGUUAGGGUUUUGUAAGAUAUUUACGGGAGAAAUGGGAAGGUUUUAGAGUUCAUGGUUUAAUGGGAUCUCGAUGCUUGAUGCUGAAGAAUAAAUUUCAUCCUUUCAUUAAAGCUAAGGACAAAAACUUCUCCUGCUCUGCAACUAAUAAAAAAGACACAAGACUGUUUUUCCUCGCAAAACAGUGCUAGGUAGUGUUUUUGGAAGAUAAUUGACAGGUGUUUUUAAAAUAAUAAGAGCUGAAAUUAUGG
Molecule: long non-coding RNA, 1174 nt
Filed under: Populus trichocarpa (black cottonwood)
Lineage: Eukaryota; Viridiplantae; Streptophyta; Magnoliopsida; Malpighiales; Salicaceae
Description: long non-coding RNA (PTRI_LNC003430)
Source: RNAcentral